AAGUCGUAACAAGGUUUCCGUAGGUGAACCUGCGGAAGGAUCAUUAAAGAUUCGGGUCGCGAGAUCCAUCUUUUCUCCAGCUGUGCGCUUCGGCUGCACGCUGUUGAAAUCCAACCUUCACACCUGUGAACCUCUCGGGGGCGCUCUGCGCUUCCGCUUUACAUGUAACAACUUAAGUUUAGAAUGUUUUAAUACUAUAAAGUAACAACUUUCAACAACGGAUCUCUUGGCUCUC
This 235-nucleotide unclassified non-coding RNA is filed under the name Elmerina caryae. RNAcentral's name for it is "partial internal transcribed spacer region". The stretch from base 1 to 46 matches the Rfam family "Eukaryotic small subunit ribosomal RNA", at positions 1786 to 1831 of the family's 1831-position model. The record is from RNAcentral. Lineage: Eukaryota; Fungi; Basidiomycota; Agaricomycetes; Auriculariales; Aporpiaceae.